RNAcentral lists this ribosomal RNA (445 nucleotides) under uncultured bacterium. RNAcentral describes it as "partial 16S ribosomal RNA". It matches the Rfam family "Bacterial small subunit ribosomal RNA", at positions 354 to 796 of the family's 1533-position model. The record is from RNAcentral.
GUAGGGAAUAUUGGGCAAUGGAUGCAAGUCUGACCCAGCCAUCCCGCGUGCCGGAAGAAGGCCCUCAGGGUUGUAAACGGCUUUUGACGGUGAAGAAUCGACAGGAUGCGUCCUGUUUUGACGGUAGCCGUUGAAUAAGCACCGGCUAACUCCGUGCCAGCAGCCGCGGUAAUACGGAGGGUGCGAGCGUUGUCCGGAUUUAUUGGGUUUAACGGGUGCGUAGGCUGGAAGGUCAGUCAGCGGUGAAAAGCUGUCGCUUAACGAUAGUCUUGCCGCAGAUACUUCCUUUCUUGGAUGAGGAGGAGGCCACUGGAACGGAUGGUGUAGCGGUGAAAUGCAUAGAUAUCAUCCAGAACACCGAUUGCGAAGGCAGGUGGCUGUACCUUAAUCGACGCUGAUGCACGAAAGCAUGGGGAGCAAACAGGAUUAGAAACCCGGGUAGUCC